This 24-nucleotide ribosomal RNA is filed under the name Aspergillus niger. RNAcentral's name for it is "partial 18S ribosomal RNA". Lineage: Eukaryota; Fungi; Ascomycota; Eurotiomycetes; Eurotiales; Aspergillaceae. The record is from RNAcentral.
CGGGUCCUUUGGGCCCAACCUCCC